This 478-nucleotide ribosomal RNA is filed under the name uncultured bacterium. RNAcentral describes it as "partial 16S ribosomal RNA". It matches the Rfam family "Bacterial small subunit ribosomal RNA", at positions 28 to 507 of the family's 1533-position model. The record is from RNAcentral.
GAUGAACGCUGGCGGCGUGCUUAACACAUGCAAGUCGAACGAGAAGUGAAGACGGAACCCUUCGGGCGGAAGGCUUUAUUUCGAGUGGCGGACGGGUGAGUAACGCGUGGGUAACCUGCCUCAUACAGGGGGAUAACAGUUGGAAACGACUGUUAAUACCGCAUAAGACCACAGCACCGCAUGGUGCGGGGGUAAAAACUCCGGUGGUAUGAGAUGGACCCGCGUUCGAUUAGCCAGUUGGCGGGGUAACGGCCCACCAAAGCGACGAUCGAUAGCCGAUCUGAGAGGAUGACCGGCCACAUUGGGACUGAGACACGGCCCAAACUCCUACGGGAGGCAGCAGUGGGGAAUAUUGCACAAUGGGGGAAACCCUGAUGCAGCGACGCCGCGUGAGUGAAGAAGUAUUUCGGUAUGUAAAGCUCUAUCAGCAGGGAAGAAAAUGACGGUACCUGAGUAAGAAGCCCCGGCUAACUACGUG